UACGUAGGCAGCGAGCGUUGUUCGGAGUUACUGGGCGUAAAGGGUGCGUAGGCGGUUGUUUACGUUUGGUGUGAAAUCUCCCGGCUCAACUGGGAGGGUGCGCCGAAUACUGAAUGACUAGAGUGCGGGAGAGGAUAGUGGAAUUCCUGGUGUAGCGGUGAAAUGCGUAGAUAUCAGGAGGAACACCGGUGGUGUAGACGGCUAUCUGGACCGUAACUGACGCUGAGGCACGAAAGCGUGGGUAGCAAACAGG
RNAcentral lists this ribosomal RNA (253 nucleotides) under uncultured bacterium. RNAcentral describes it as "partial 16S ribosomal RNA". It matches the Rfam family "Bacterial small subunit ribosomal RNA", at positions 524 to 776 of the family's 1533-position model. The record is from RNAcentral.